UUUUGUACAAGGUGUGUCUAUAUAAAUAUAUUCGAAAUAUGUCCAGUGUGAUCAUCUUUUUCUAUGGGCAACCAUGUCUAUCAGGUAAAGCUUCAAUAAUUCAAAGAACGACAGAAAAAUCUGGAAGCUAAGCUGAUGACAGUGGCAGCGAUACAUGAAGUAUUCAGACAAUAGACAUUUUGCUUCGGAGAUAUUUGGAUCUCAAAUUGAAUAGUAUAUAUAUAUGUGGUUCAAGACAGAACGUUGUCGACCUACUUGUGGUGAUAAGUGCUCUGAACUAUCACAAUAGACAUUGAAGCCUCUUCUCCGGAAUGAACAAACACUGGAGCCAUUAGGAACAUCACAAUCAUCGCAAUACAGGUAUGUUGCAAAAUAAGUGAAGGAAUCGGAAUUGGGUACAUGGUUGGAUUUCAUAACCCUGGCGGCUACGUACCGAGGAGUUCAAAAUAACUUCGCUUGGCAGAUAACAACGGUAGCAAUACUUGGCCUGGUGGAUUUGGAAGCUGCAGGGAACACAAUCAUCUUUGACUAUGA
Molecule: long non-coding RNA, 534 nt
Filed under: Hordeum vulgare
Lineage: Eukaryota; Viridiplantae; Streptophyta; Magnoliopsida; Poales; Poaceae
Description: long non-coding RNA (HVUL_LNC021521)
Source: RNAcentral